GGUUUAAUCCCGUCCUUAUCA
RNAcentral lists this transfer RNA (21 nucleotides) under Trachylepis maculilabris. RNAcentral's name for it is "partial tRNA-Tyr". The record is from RNAcentral. Lineage: Eukaryota; Metazoa; Chordata; Lepidosauria; Squamata; Scincidae.